Molecule: ribosomal RNA, 315 nt
Filed under: uncultured eukaryote
Lineage: Eukaryota
Description: partial 18S ribosomal RNA
Rfam family: Eukaryotic small subunit ribosomal RNA
Source: RNAcentral
CCCUUAGACGUUCUGGGCCGCACGCGCGCUACACUGACCAGUGCAACAAGCAUCCGUCCUUGGCCGACAGGCCCGGGCAAUCUUUGAACGCUGGUCGUGAUGGGGAUAGACUUUUGCAAUUUUUGGUCUUCAACGAGGAAUUCCUAGUAAACGCAAGUCAUCAACUUGCAUUGAUUACGUCCCUGCCCUUUGUACACACCGCCCGUCGCACCUACCGAUUGAAUGGUCCGGUGAAGCCUCCGGAUUGGCGCGCACCUCGGUGCCGCCGAGAAGUUGGCUAAACCUUACCAUUUAGAGGAAGGUGAAGCCGUAACA